AAUCCUCCAUCCACAAUUCAAAAUGACCCAGAAAAACAUUAUUGUCUUCCCUCUAUAUUUCUCUACUAACAAUGGCAGUACCCUCCACAACUGGAAUCCCUAAUCGUUCUCUCAGACUUUCUCUCUCCAUAAUCGUAUCAAUAUUUAUAUUUUAAAUUUCGUUUUGCAGUUGUGCCAGCAAAGUUUAUGUGGGGUUAAGAGUUCAAUCUCCAAUUCCAAGUUUCUACUCCCAAGGCUUCAAUUUGUUCAAAAUUUAAUCUUUGGUUUAGAAUUUGUAAUUAUUUUUUGUUUAAAAUUUCGCAAAUUCUUAUGGGGUUGGAACGGUUUUACAAAUGCAUUAAGUCCGGAUAAAUUUCUGCUAUUUGUAAUUUCUGGGUAGGUAUAUUUUUUCAAUCUGAAUGUAUACUAGAAUUUUCAAGAAACUUGGAAUUUAAUGAUUUUCAUUGAAUUCAAAAAUAAUCUUCUCCUUCAUCCUGCUUUUUGUGAAUAAUAAUAGGUCUGAUUGAGACUUGUUGAUUUGAAGUUUGUACAGUCGACGAUUGUGGAGGAUUUUGAAGUAAAUGACGAUGGUAGACUAGGUCCGAUCGUA
RNAcentral lists this long non-coding RNA (589 nucleotides) under Olea europaea subsp. europaea. The record is from RNAcentral. Lineage: Eukaryota; Viridiplantae; Streptophyta; Magnoliopsida; Lamiales; Oleaceae.